CCUACGGGAGGCAGCAGUGGGGGAUAUUGCACAAUGGGGGGAACCCUGAUGCAGCGACGCCGCGUGGGUGAAGAAGCGCUUCGGCGUGUAAAGCUCUGUCAGCAGUGAAGAAAAUGACGGUACCUGCAGAAGAAGCCCCGGCUAACUACGUGCCAGCAGCCGCGGUAAUACGUAGGGGGCAAGCGUUAUUCGGAUUUACUGGGUGUAAAGGGGGUGCAGGCGGCGAUGCAAGCCAGGAGUGAAAGCCCGGGGCCCAACCCCGGGACUGCUCUUGGGACUGCGUGGCUGGAGUGAUGGAGGGGCAGGCGGAAUUCCUGGUGUAGCGGUGAAAUGCGUAGAUAUCAGGAGGAACACCGGUGGCGAAGGCGGCCUGCUGGACUGCUACUGACGUUGAGGCCCGAAAGCGUGGGGAGCAAACAGGAUUAGAUACCCGUGUAGUC
RNAcentral lists this ribosomal RNA (440 nucleotides) under uncultured bacterium. RNAcentral's name for it is "partial 16S ribosomal RNA". It matches the Rfam family "Bacterial small subunit ribosomal RNA", at positions 338 to 795 of the family's 1533-position model. The record is from RNAcentral.